RNAcentral lists this long non-coding RNA (233 nucleotides) under Brassica napus (rape). Its description in RNAcentral is "long non-coding RNA (BNAP_LNC025451)". Lineage: Eukaryota; Viridiplantae; Streptophyta; Magnoliopsida; Brassicales; Brassicaceae. The record is from RNAcentral.
AGAGAAGAUCCAAAGUUAUAUUUGUGAUUGGAACUCCAUUGAAAUCUAUUUACUAUUCUAAUGAAGUUUUCUUACCUAACUGCUGCUAUGAAUUGCUUGGGCAUGUAUGAGUAGUUCCAUUGUUAGAUUUUAAGGUUUAAAUAGGUUAUGAGGGAUUAACCCCAACUAUAGAUUGCUGAGUUGUGAUAAUAAUCAUUAGGGAUUGUCAUUAAUGCAUGAUUCUAGAUUAGCUA